GACGAACGCUGGCGGCGUGCUUAACACAUGCAAGUCGAACGGGCCUGUCUUCUUUUUUGGGGGGUGGGUUGAGUGGCGAACGGGUGAGUAUCACGUGAGUAACCUGCCCUUCGGUCCUGGAUAACCGCUUGAAAGGGCGGCUAAUACGGGGUGGUCCGGUUGGUCCGCAUGGGCUGGUCGGGAUAGAUUCACUGUUUUUGGUGUUUCGGCGGGGGAUGGGCUCGCGGCCUAUCAGCUUGUUGGUGGGGUGAUGGCCUACCAAGGCGGUGACGGGUAGCCGGCCUGAGAGGGUGGGCGGCCACACUGGGACUGAGAUACGGCCCAGACUCCUGCGGGAGGCAGCAGUGGGGGGUAUUGCACAAUGGGCGGAAGCCUGAUGCAGCGACGUCGCGUGAGGGAUGGAGGCCUUCGGGUCGUGAACCUCUGUUUCCGGUGGUGAAGGCCCUGUCCGUGUGGUGGGGUUGACGGUAGCCGGGGAUGAAGCGCCGGCUAACUACGUG
Molecule: ribosomal RNA, 500 nt
Filed under: uncultured bacterium
Lineage: Bacteria
Description: partial 16S ribosomal RNA
Rfam family: Bacterial small subunit ribosomal RNA
Source: RNAcentral